CGGGGUGUGGCUCAGCUUGGCUAGAGCGCCUGGUUUGGGACCAGGAGGUCGCGGGUUCGAAUCCUGUCACCCCGA
Molecule: transfer RNA, 75 nt
Filed under: Agathobacter rectalis
Lineage: Bacteria; Bacillati; Bacillota; Clostridia; Lachnospirales; Lachnospiraceae
Description: tRNA-Pro
Rfam family: tRNA
About the family: Transfer RNA (tRNA) molecules are approximately 80 nucleotides in length. Their secondary structure includes four short double-helical elements and three loops (D, anti-codon, and T loops). Further hydrogen bonds mediate the characteristic L-shaped molecular structure. tRNAs have two regions of fundamental functional importance: the anti-codon, which is responsible for specific mRNA codon recognition, and the 3' end, to which the tRNAs corresponding amino acid is attached (by aminoacyl-tRNA synthetases). tRNAs cope with the degeneracy of the genetic code in two manners: having more than one tRNA (with a specific anti-codon) for a particular amino acid; and 'wobble' base-pairing, i.e. permitting non-standard base-pairing at the 3rd anti-codon position.
Source: RNAcentral